CGCGUAGGCGGAGUAUUAAGUUAGAUGUGAAAUCCCUGGGCUUAACCUGGGAAUGGCAUUUAAUACUGAUAAUCUAGAGUAGAGUAGAGGGAAGUGGAAUUUCCGGUGUAGCGGUGAAAUGCGUAGAGAUCGGAAAGAACACCAGUGGCGAAGGCGGCUUCCUGGACUCAUACUGACGCUGAGGCGCGAAAGCGUGGGGAGCAAACAGGAUUAGAUACCCUGGUAGUCCAUGCUGUAAACGAUGAAAACUAGAUGUUGUUAGGUUAAACCUAUCAGUAUCGAAGCUAACGCGAUAAGUUUUCCGCCUGGGGAGUACGGCCGCAAGGUUAAA
This 331-nucleotide ribosomal RNA is filed under the name uncultured Pseudomonadota bacterium. RNAcentral describes it as "bacterial SSU rRNA". It matches the Rfam family "Bacterial small subunit ribosomal RNA", at positions 568 to 898 of the family's 1533-position model. Lineage: Bacteria; Pseudomonadati; Pseudomonadota. The record is from RNAcentral.